GACGAACGCUGGCGGCGUGCUUAACACAUGCAAGUCGAACGGAAAGGCCCUGCUUUUGUGGGGUGCUCGAGUGGCGAACGGGUGAGUAACACGUGAGUAACCUGCCCUUGACUUUGGGAUAACUUCAGGAAACUGGGGCUAAUACCGGAUAGGAGCUCCUGCUGCAUGGUGGGGGUUGGAAAGUUUCGGCGGUUGGGGAUGGACUCGCGGCUUAUCAGCUUGUUGGUGGGGUAGUGGCUUACCAAGGCUUUGACGGGUAGCCGGCCUGAGAGGGUGACCGGCCACAUUGGGACUGAGAUACGGCCCAGACUCCUACGGGAGGCAGCAGUGGGGAAUAUUGCACAGUGGGCGGAAGCCUGAUGCAGCAACGCCGCGUGCGGGAUGACGGCCUUUGGGUUGUAAACCGCUUUCGCCUGUGACGAAGCGUGAGUGACGGUAAUGGGUAAGGAAGCACCGGCUAACUACGUG
This 468-nucleotide ribosomal RNA is filed under the name uncultured bacterium. RNAcentral describes it as "partial 16S ribosomal RNA". It matches the Rfam family "Bacterial small subunit ribosomal RNA", at positions 28 to 507 of the family's 1533-position model. The record is from RNAcentral.